Sapajus apella (tufted capuchin) is the source of this 2397-nucleotide long non-coding RNA. RefSeq lists it as uncharacterized. Lineage: Eukaryota; Metazoa; Chordata; Mammalia; Primates; Cebidae. The record is from RefSeq and is a predicted model, not a curated record. The transcript has 4 exons.
CCUACCAGGUGGUAGCAGAGAUCUAAGGCCAGAGGCAAGUCCCUAAGAAGCAGGCACUAGGACCAGGAAUUAUCCUGUCAAGUGUUGCCCUUGCCAAGGAAUAUUACAACUUUGUGUGGAAGGGGUGGGGGUGUACAGUGAAUGAGCAGUCAGUCCCAGGGCUAUCAUAGGAGCUGAUAGGCACAUGGUUUUGACAUUAGGAGGCAGGAAACCAUGGUGCUAAUUCUAUCUUUGCCAGGUUCUCACUGAGUGUGACCUCUAGCGUAUCACUGUCCUCUCAACCUUGGUUUCUAUAUCUAUAAAAUGGGAAUAACAAAUUCGGUCCUGUCUUCCUCUUGGAGGGCUGUGCAGGUUAAAUGAAAUAACAGGUAUAUAAUCUGCAAAGGGCUGAGGAGCCACAUAAACAAUAACUGCUGAUCCUGGGACGCAUCAGAGAAGGCUGAGUGGCUGCCUGUAUUUGAACACUGAUCAUUACCUUCCACCAUGAGCUGCACUGUGAUUAGGCACUAAUGAGUAAAAUAGUUUUGGUGGAGGGAUGAGGUUACAGUGGUCUGAGGUCAAGCAAACCUGGGUUAAAUGUAUGAUUUCUCCUUUCCCAAGCUUUGAGUUUUUGAUCAAGUCUUGAAAUCUCUUUUCAGCCAGGUUUCCUUGUCUAUAAAGGUGGGAUAAUGAUUAUUUGCAGGGUUGCAGUGAGAAUUAAAUGGGAAUGUUUAUGUAAAGUGCUUGCAACUGUGCUAACCCACAAAUGUGUUCCUUUUGUUGAGUUUUCCUUCAUUUUCCCAUCAUUUUGUUACUGUUUUAUUUGUAAGUUAAAGAAUAAAACACAAAAAGAGGAAUUUCCACGGGGGAGAUUGAGCACAGCUAGAAUCCUAGUUGCUCCUUACUGAUUGUGAGGACUGGGAAGUCCCUGCCUUUCCCUCAGCCUGGGUUUUCUCAUCUGUAACACCAGGGGUUCCACGAGGGAGUUUCUUCAGGGACUAGCCUGGGAGGCACAGGAUGCUACCAAGUCUGCAGGCCCCUUUCAGGGAGAGGAUCCUUCAGGCCGAGCUGGGUAAGGAGGGCCAGGCAGGGAUCAGGAGAGGGAGAUAAGAGUUGUGGAAGAGGGACAGCAGGAUGCAGAGGUGGCAGUUCUGUCACCACCAUGGGCUGGCCUGUGAAGGGAGCAGGCCCUGUUCAGGAUGCCUGCCUGCCUGUUUUCCCACAGCCUGCUGAGUUAAUGCCAAAACAAAAUACACUUGCUUGCUCCCUGCCUGAUGGCAGCAAGCCAAAAUGAGCGUCCUGGAGGGCUGGCAGACACCCUGGCAUCCUGCCUGUCCUCUGUGGGCAUCUGCCCUUCCCCUGUCUGCAGCACCACCCUCAGCCAAAGCUGGCCCAGGGUGUGGAGAGGAGCCUCCCCAGGGUCUGCGUUCCUCCUCCGAUUUGCAGCCUUCCUAAGUGGAUGCCUCCAACCCCUACACCUGCCUGUCUUCCAGUCCAGCCUUGGCCCAAGACGUGAUCUAAUUCUCAUGCUGCUGUGGGCAGAGCACAUGGCAUCAGAAUGCUGGGAGCUGCUGUCUGUCGCCAUGGGAGGGAAUUCCCCAGCUCAGGAAAACUCUUCCAACGGAAGGGAGCAGGUGGCGAGCCUCCCUGAAGAGACAGACGCUGCCAACGCUGCAGGCAGAGCCAAUCGUGUGGUGGCUAACAGAUUUUUCCAGCAACAGAGCUGAGAGGAUUAGAAUCUGGGAGAAGAAAGAGCUCUGCAUUCUUGGCUUCACCUGUCUGGAGUGGAGUUGACAUCAUGCUGAGCUGGAGGUGCAGGGGGCCAGGGAAGGACAAAUCCCUCACCUGUUGUGGGAGAGGCGUGGCUGUUGCACACUCCCGUCUCACUCAAGCCUCACAACAGCCCUCAAGGGAAGUUAUCAGGGCCAUUUUGAAGAUGCAGCCAAGCUGCAGAGUUUCGUCUUCCAAUGAAGCUUCCCUGACUCCCUCUGAGAGUGACUGCUCCUUUUCUGCACACCCUCAUGUCCCAGAAUCAAUGGCCUGACCCUUCUGCUUCUCCAACCAUACUCAGACACCCUCCUCCAAGUGCCCACACCAUAGUCCUGCACACAGAUCCUUAAGCAGCUUCAUUCCGUAUGUUUUAAUGUUUAUUUAAAUUUAUUUGUAUUAUCUUUCCAUCAACAUAUAUUAUUUUUCUUUACCUUCUUUUAUAAUAUUGGGUUUUUAUCCCAUCCAUGCAUGUCCAAAUUGUCAAAAAUUUAGGAAAGAAUAAAAAUUACCCCAAAUUGCCACAGAUAAUCAUAUUAACAUUUUGGUAGAUUAUUUUUUUCUUUUGAGUCUGGUGUCUAUAGACAUAUGCAUUUUACAGAGUUGAGAUUACCCUGUAUGAAUAGUUCUAAAGAUUGCUUUUAAAAAUCU